This 379-nucleotide ribosomal RNA is filed under the name uncultured cyanobacterium. RNAcentral describes it as "bacterial SSU rRNA". It matches the Rfam family "Bacterial small subunit ribosomal RNA", at positions 376 to 770 of the family's 1533-position model. The record is from RNAcentral. Lineage: Bacteria; Bacillati; Cyanobacteriota.
CGAAAGCCUGACGGAGCAAGACCGCGUGAGGGAGGAAGGCUCUUGGGUUGUAAACCUCUUUUCUCAGGGAAGAAGCUCUGACGGUACCUGAGGAAUCAGCCUCGGCUAACUCCGUGCCAGCAGCCGCGGUAAUACGGAGGAGGCAAGCGUUAUCCGGAAUUAUUGGGCGUAAAGAGUCCGUAGGUGGUGGGGCAAGUCGGCGGUUAAAGACUGGGGCUUAACUCCAGAAGAGCCGUGGAAACUGCAUAGCUAGAGUGCCGUAGGGGUAGAGGGAAUUCCCGGUGUAGCGGUGAAAUGCGUAGAGACCGGGAAGAACAUCGGUGGCGAAAGCGCUCUACUGGACGGCAACUGACACUCAGGGACGAAAGCUAGGGGAGCG